CAUCGAUGAAGAACGUAGCGAAUUACGAUAUGUAAUGUGAAUUGCAGAAUUCAGUGAAUCAUCGAAUCUUUGAACGCACCUUGCGCUCUUUGGUAUUCCGAAGAGCAUGCCUGUUUGAGUGUCAU
RNAcentral lists this ribosomal RNA (125 nucleotides) under Waitea circinata. RNAcentral describes it as "5.8S ribosomal RNA". It matches the Rfam family "5.8S ribosomal RNA", at positions 31 to 154 of the family's 154-position model. From Rfam's summary of the family: 5.8S ribosomal RNA (5.8S rRNA) is a component of the large subunit of the eukaryotic ribosome. Lineage: Eukaryota; Fungi; Basidiomycota; Agaricomycetes; Corticiales; Corticiaceae. The record is from RNAcentral.